AUACGUAGGGUGCGAGCGUUAAUCGGAAUUACUGGGCGUAAAGCGUGCGCAGGCGGUUUUGUAAGACAGGCGUGAAAUCCCCGGGCUCAACCUGGGAAUGGCGCUUGUGACUGCAAGGCUAGAGAGCGUCAGAGGGGGGUAGAAUUCCACGUGUAGCAGUGAAAUGCGUAGAGAUGUGGAGGAAUACCGAUGGCGAAGGCAGCCCCCUGGGACGAGACUGACGCUCAUGCACGAAAGCGUGGGGAGCAAACAGGAUUAGAAACCCCAGUAGUCC
Molecule: ribosomal RNA, 274 nt
Filed under: uncultured bacterium
Lineage: Bacteria
Description: partial 16S ribosomal RNA
Rfam family: Bacterial small subunit ribosomal RNA
Source: RNAcentral